GACAGAGGGUGCAAACGUUGUCCGGAAUUACUGGGCGUAAAGCGCGUGUAGGCUGCUUCGCAAGUCGGAUGUGAAAGCCCUGGGCUCAACCCAGGAAGUGCAUUCGAAACUGCAGAGCUGGAGUCCUGGAGAGGAAGGCGGAAUUCUCGGUGUAGAGGUGAAAUUCGUAGAUAUCGAGAGGAACCCCGGUGGCGAAGGCGGCCUUCUGGACAGUGACUGACGCUGAGACGCGAAAUCGUGGGGAGCAAACAGG
This 253-nucleotide ribosomal RNA is filed under the name uncultured bacterium. RNAcentral describes it as "partial 16S ribosomal RNA". It matches the Rfam family "Bacterial small subunit ribosomal RNA", at positions 524 to 776 of the family's 1533-position model. The record is from RNAcentral.